GGGAGGUCGAAUAAUCGUCGCCAUCAAUAACUGAACCGGGUGUGUCGUAGUUCAGGUGAGCAGUUCAGGUCUUACGAGAUGGCUGAGACCUUUCUUUUCACCUCUGAGUCUGUGAAUGAAGGACACCCUGAUAAGCUCUGCGAUCAGAUCUCCGAUGCUGUGCUUGAUGCCUGCCUCGAGCAGGACCCUGACAGCAAAGUGGCCUGUGAGACCUGCACCAAGACCAACAUGGUGAUGGUCUUUGGGGAGAUAACUACUAAGGCAAAUAUCGACUAUGAGAAGAUCGUCCGGGACACUUGCCGCAAAAUUGGAUUUAUCUCCGAUGAUGUUGGUCUGGAUGCUGACCAUUGCAAGGUACUUGUUAACAUAGAGCAGCAGUCUCCUGACAUUGCCCAGGGUGUGCAUGGCCACUUCACUAAGCGCCCGGAAGAGAUUGGUGCCGGUGACCAGGGACACAUGUUUGGAUACGCCACAGAUGAGACCCCAGAGCUCAUGCCUCUGACUCAUGUCCUCGCAACCAAGCUCGGUGCUCGCCUAACUGAGGUACGCAAGAACGGGACCUGCCCUUGGCUGAGGCCCGAUGGAAAGACCCAGGUGACAAUUGAGUAUCAGAAUGACCAUGGUGCCAUGGUGCCAAUUCGUGUUCACACCAUCCUCAUCUCCACCCAGCAUGAUGAAACCGUCACCAAUGAUGAGAUUGCUGCAGACCUCAAGGAGCAUGUGAUCAAGCCUGUUGUCCCUGAGAAGUAUCUUGACGAGAAGACCAUCUUCCACCUCAACCCGUCUGGCCGCUUUGUGAUUGGAGGGCCCCAUGGUGAUGCUGGGCUCACCGGCCGCAAGAUUAUUAUUGACACCUAUGGUGGCUGGGGAGCUCAUGGUGGUGGUGCCUUCUCUGGUAAGGAUCCUACUAAGGUCGACCGUAGUGGUGCCUACAUUGUGAGGCAGGCAGCUAAGAGUAUUGUGGCCAAUGGCCUUGCUCGUCGCUGCAUUGUGCAGGUUUCCUAUGCCAUUGGUGUGCCUGAGCCCCUGUCUGUGUUUGUUGACACCUAUGGCACUGGCAAAAUUCCCGACAGGGAGAUAUUGAAGAUUGUGAAGGAGACCUUUGACUUCCGGCCUGGGAUGAUGACCAUCAAUCUUGACCUGAAGAGGGGUGGUAAUGACAGGUUUCUGAAGACAGCUGCCUAUGGGCAUUUCGGUAGGGAUGACCCCGACUUCACCUGGGAGGUGGUUAAGCCUCUCAAGUGGGAGAAGCCUAUUGCUUGAGAUUUCAGGGAAGCCUUAAUUAAUAUAUAGACAAGCAUCUGCAUCUAUAUUUGUAGGAAACUAUUUAAUCGUUUAAUUUGCUGUGGUCUGUUGGAUCCAUUGUUUUAGUUUGAUGUUGGUCUAGUGUGAUGUUACCUUUUAUUAUUCGUUAUUAAGUUGUGCUGAAAGAAAAC
Molecule: unclassified non-coding RNA, 1436 nt
Filed under: Hevea brasiliensis (rubber tree)
Lineage: Eukaryota; Viridiplantae; Streptophyta; Magnoliopsida; Malpighiales; Euphorbiaceae
Source: RNAcentral